GCAUGGCUGUCGUCAGCUCGUGUUGUGAAAUGUUGGGUUAAGUCCCGCAACGAGCGCAACCCUUAUCCUUUGUUGCCAGCGUUCCGGCCGGCAACUCAGAGGAAACUGCCGGUAAUAAACUGGAGGAAGGGGGGGAUGACGUCAAGUCAUCUGCCCCCUUACAACUGGGGCUACCCACUUGCUACAAUGGCGCAAACAAAAAGAAGCAACCUCCCGAGAGCAAGCGGACCUCAAAAAGUGCGUCCUAUUCCGGAUUGGAGUCUGCAACUCGACUCCAUGAAGUCGGAAUCGCUAGUAAUCGUGGAUCAGAAUGCCACGGUGAAUACGUUCCCGGGUCUUGUAACACAC
RNAcentral lists this ribosomal RNA (348 nucleotides) under Escherichia coli. RNAcentral describes it as "bacterial SSU rRNA". It matches the Rfam family "Bacterial small subunit ribosomal RNA", at positions 1043 to 1390 of the family's 1533-position model. The record is from RNAcentral. Lineage: Bacteria; Pseudomonadati; Pseudomonadota; Gammaproteobacteria; Enterobacterales; Enterobacteriaceae.